CUCCUACGGGAGGCAGCAGUGGGGAAUCUUGCACAAUGGGGGAAACCCUGAUGCAGCGACGCCGCGUGAGGGAUGAAGCUUUCGGAGUGUAAACCCUUUCGACCCGGAAGAAUGCCCGCAAGGGUUUGACGGUACGGGUAUAAGAAGCCCGGCUAACUACGUGCCAGCCGCCGCGGUAAUAC
This 182-nucleotide ribosomal RNA is filed under the name uncultured bacterium. RNAcentral's name for it is "partial 16S ribosomal RNA". It matches the Rfam family "Bacterial small subunit ribosomal RNA", at positions 336 to 526 of the family's 1533-position model. The record is from RNAcentral.